Cyprinodon variegatus (sheepshead minnow) is the source of this 332-nucleotide long non-coding RNA. RefSeq lists it as uncharacterized. The record is from RefSeq and is a predicted model, not a curated record. NCBI's taxonomy places the organism in Eukaryota, Metazoa, Chordata, Actinopteri, Cyprinodontiformes, Cyprinodontidae. The transcript has 4 exons.
CCCAUUUCCUUCAAGCAGCAACAGCAGCAGCAGCAUCGCCAGGCCUGGCAGACGAACAACACAAAACAUAUGCGGUCAGAGGACAGAGAAACCGUCGCAGCUAAGCCACGUUUCGGAUUGUCCGACAAUAGUCGCGCAAAAACUGGAUGCCCAACAAGCCGCCGGAGCCUCACUGAUGGGCGUUCAUCGCUAACCUGCAGCCGCAUCUGCCCGACGCCUCAGCGGUAUCUCCUGGCUCUGAUGUUACUAGCUGAACAGUGACCACUGCCUGCCCAAGGACUCCUGCUUCCCAACUCCCCCUCAUCAUGUCUGGGAUCCAUCAGGUGCCAUGG